RNAcentral lists this ribosomal RNA (247 nucleotides) under uncultured bacterium. RNAcentral describes it as "partial small subunit ribosomal RNA". It matches the Rfam family "Bacterial small subunit ribosomal RNA", at positions 26 to 285 of the family's 1533-position model. The record is from RNAcentral.
AGAAUCAACGCUGGCGGCGUGCCUAACACAUGCAAGUCGAACGAGAAAGUGGUAGCAAUACCAUGAGUAAAGUGGCGCACGGGUGAGUAACACGUGACUAACCUACCCUGGAGUGGGGGAUAACUGAGGGAAACCUUAGCUAAUACCGCAUAAUACCCACGGGUCAAAGGAGCAAUUCGCUCUGGGAGGGGGUCGCGGCCGAUUAGUUAGUUGGCGGGGUAAUGGCCCACCAAGACGAUGAUCGGUA